UGUGAGUCAUUGUAGCAAUACAAGGCAGACGGCUCAGUAACACGUAGCCAACCUACCCUAUGGACGGGGAUAACCUCGGGAAACUGAGGAUAAACCCCGAUAGAUCAUAAUGCCUGGAACGGUUUAUGGUCCAAAUGAUUCGUCGCCGUAGGAUGGGACUGCGGCCUAUCAGCUUGUUGGUGAGGUAAUGGCCCACCAAGGCUAUUACAGGUACGGGCUCUGAGAGGAGAAGCCCGGAGAUGGGUACUGAGACACGGACCCAGGCCCUAUGGGGCGCAGCAGGCGAGAAAACUUUGCAAUGUGCGCAAGCACGACAAGGUUAAUCCGAGUGUUUCCUGCUAAAGGAAUCUUUUGCUAGUCCUAAAAACACUAGCGAAUAAGGGGUGGGCAAGUUCUGGUGUCAGCCGCCGCGGUAAAACCAGCACCUCAAGUGGUCAGGAGGAUUAUUGGGCCUAAAGCAUCCGUAGCCUGCUCUGUAAGUUUCCGGUUAAAUCCAUUAGCUUAACUGAUGGGCCGCUGGAAAAACUGCAAAGCUAGGGAGUGGGAGAGGUAGACGGUACUCGGUAGGAAGGGGUAAAAUCCUUUGAUCUAUUGAUGACCACCAGUGGCGAAGGCGGUCUACCAGAACACGUUCGACGGUGAGGGAUGAAAGCUGGGGGAGCAAACCGGAUUAGAUACCCGGGUAGUCCCAGCUGUAAACGAUGCAGACUCGGUGAUGCCCUGGCUUGUGGCCAGUGCAGUGCCGCA
RNAcentral lists this ribosomal RNA (747 nucleotides) under uncultured archaeon. Its description in RNAcentral is "bacterial SSU rRNA". It matches the Rfam family "Archaeal small subunit ribosomal RNA", at positions 52 to 805 of the family's 1478-position model. The record is from RNAcentral.